Hemicordylus capensis (graceful crag lizard) is the source of this 5641-nucleotide long non-coding RNA. RefSeq lists it as uncharacterized. NCBI's taxonomy places the organism in Eukaryota, Metazoa, Chordata, Lepidosauria, Squamata, Cordylidae. The record is from RefSeq and is a predicted model, not a curated record. The transcript has 6 exons.
GCCAGCCAGGAAGGAGGAGGCAGCCAGAGUGUUCUCUGCAGCAGAAGACCCCUUGCUGCCCUGCUUAACCCAGACCAGCAUUUGCCAGCCAGUUACCAACCCACACAUGAGCCUGUCCCCUUAUCCCAUGACUGCUGAGUUUACCGAAGAGCCUUUGGUGGGGAACUUUGUCAACAGAUUUUUGGAAGUCGAAGUAUACUAUGUCAACCAGAUCACCUUUAUCCACAUGCCUGUUGACACUCUCAAAGAACUCCAAAAGGCUUCCAAAUGUCAUGGAGUGUGACUCCAGGCAACGAGGUGUGUGUGCACAGGCAAGGAAAAUGCACAGGUAUAGCCUGGGAAAAUUAUCGACGGCAGGCUUCAGCAUUGGCAUAGACGUUAGCAUCUUAUUAAAUUGCUAAUAGCAUUUCAAGAGGCUUGUUCCGUAACUUUUCAUCAGUGUGGAAUAGAAGGAGUGCAGCAGCAGGGUGGGCUAACCAAAGAAUUAAAAUGCAAAAAAAUUGAACGCUGCAGUUUUCAUUUCCGUGAAGGGAUGCAUCGGAUUCUAAAUCAGUUGCUACAGUCCACAGUGCCAUCUUUUUUUAUGCAGCAGACCAGCUCUGGGUGUAUAUAUAUAGGCAUGUGAAAUGCAACCUUUCUGUGAAUCCUGACGGUUUUCAUACUGCAAGAUACUGAGAGAAAUGUAGUGGUGGGCAUUCCACCCUUUCCAGAAGACCUUCAGCUCCUCACAGGAUAGGACCCUUGAACUUCUCAUGUGCUAAAUUGGCUGAACAGUGCUACCCCCUUCUCAUCAGCUCUUUCAUCCCCACCUCUUGCCCGGCAACAAUACCUUCCUGGCUGCUCUAGGCAUUGAUCCAAGGGACCUCAGCUACGCUUCCUGCAAGUUAUGGCUGUUUCUGCUCAGAGUUGCAGAGAGAGAAGGGGGAUGGGAAGAGAAGACCCUCAGACACUGCUUGUCUUGCAACCACAACAGAUGACACCCCCCUCCCAGUUCCAGCACUGACAAUGCCCCUGAAGAAGACUCCUGAGCCAACCUAGGCAGUAACCUAUCCAGGAAGCGAAAAAAGCAUCCGAUGCUCAUAACUAGGUCACUGCAUGAGAGAACAGAUGCAGCCGGCGGCUGAUUUUCAGAUGAAAAGAGAAUGUCUAGACUACUUCUCCCACUCGAACUGCAGAGAUGAGCCCAACACAACCUCCAAAAUGUACUUUCUGAAUCAGUUAUGUGUGAGGCCUUGCAAUCAAUAGGAGUGGCAAAUCUCUACCCAUAUCCUUGGGUCGGCAAUACCAGUGACAUGCCCAUCAAAAUUAAUCUGCUCUCCCAGAUGAAUCUUUAAACUUUUUUUAACUCCAAGCAAGUCAUAAUCCAAGACAGAUAUUCCUUCGAUCCCAGCACAAUCUGCAGACAUGUUGUGGAUCUUAUGAGGAGAGGCAGAAGAAAGAGUGUACAGCCUAGAGAAAAGUAGAUUAAGAAAGUAUAUGAUGGCAUUUUUCAAACACUAAAAAGGAUUUCUGAAAGAAGAGGGGGAAGAGGCAGUCAUACACAUCAAUUCGGCAAACCACUGAAACAUGAGCAUGGCAGUAACCUUGCAAGAUGUGUCACGCGAUUCCGCAUGUGUUUGCUUGGGUUGAGUCCAUCUGAAUUCAGUGGUUGACAUACUGCACAAAGUCUAAUGUGUGUUGUAAUGUCACAUGCAUGCAAUUAGGCAAGUGUGCUCUUGUGCAAACACAAAAAUUGCACAAACGCAGUUACGCAGUAGCACAGCUUAUUUUUCCAGUAGCCUUACUGUCACGCAAGUCCAUUUGCACAAUUUUUGCAAGUGAACAGGAGUGGAACAUAGGAAGUUGCCAUAUACUGAAUCAGACCAUUGGUCCCUCUAGCUCAGUAUUGUCUACCCAGACUGGCAGAGCUUCUCCAAGGUUGCAGGCGGGAAUCUCUCUCAGCCCUAUCUUGGAGAUGCUGCCAGGGAGGGAACUUGGAACCUAGAUGCUCGUCCCAGAGCGGCUCCAUCCCCUGAGGGGAAUCUCUUCCAGUGCUCACAUGUGGUCUCCCAUUCAUAUGCAACCAGGGUGGACCCUGCUUAGCUAAGUGGACAAGUCAUGCUUGCUACCACAAGAACAGCUCUCCUCAGUUUGCACAAUUAUGUACACAUUGCAUUGCAACAUGCACGGAACUUUGCACAAUAUGUCAGCCAGUGGGACUUACCUCCAAGCAAAUGUGCAGCCAAAAUUUUUCAGACUCAAGCAGCGGUUCUGAAACCUGGAUUCCCAGAUGUUGCUGGAUCACAACUUUCCUCAUCCCCAGCCACAAUCCUCUGGCCAUUUUGACUGGAUGGUUGGUUGGCUGAAAUUUUUAUGCCACUAACUGAGAUGGUACUAGGUGGUUCACAGAAAUAAAAAGAGAUUCGAAACAAAACAAAACAAAAAUAAUCCAUUAAAACAAUUACAAAUUAAAACCAUUUAAAAAGCACUAAAAUGUGUGUUUGUAAGGCUCUUUUAAAGGCUGAUAAAGUUCUUAAGCUUCAAAUGAUGAAACAGUCCAGCAAUAUCUGGGAAUCUAGGUUUCAGAAUCCUUGUGCUAAAGGAAUGUAUGGACAAUGGAGAAAUUGAUUGCGGGGGGAGUGCAAAAAUGGCCCAGAGCAAGGAUCAGAGCAAAAGUCUAUUUCCCACAGUGGCCAACCAGAUGCCUCUGGGGAGCCCACAAGCAGCACAUGAAGGCAAUAGCCCCCUCCUGGUAUUGCACCCCAACAUCCUGCCUCUGGAUUCUGAAGGUGGGAAUGACUUGCCAUGUGUCCUUUGAAGGAAAUGGGACCAAUCUGCUCCAAGAAGCUGCUGGAGCAAUGCUCUGGUAAUGUAACCCAGUUCUGCUGAUCCUGAUCCUUGAGGUCCCAGGUUGGUUGAGCUCCUAGGUCCGAAUCUCAGCGGAGACUUGGAGCAUGCACCCCAGUACAGCAGUGCCCUGUGGGCAACGCAUGCACAAAAUUGUCCAUUCACAAGCUUCCCUCCCCCCAUUUCCUUAAACGGGCCAUUCCCACCUUCAUAAUGUACAGGCAGCUGUUUGUGUUGGAGUUCCACUGGAGCAAAUACAACAAAUAUUUAUGACAACUAUUUAUAUAGUGCUUUUCAACAAAAGUUCCCAAAGCAGUUUACGUAGAUAGGAAUAAAUAAAUAAAAUGGCUCCCUGUCCCCAAAGGGCUCACAAUCUUAAAAAGAAACGCAAGAUAGACACCAGCAACAGCCACUGGAGGGAUGCUGUGCUGGGGAUGGAUUGGGCCAGUUGCUCUCCCCCUGCUAAAUAAAGAGAAUCACCACUUCUAAAAGGUGCCUCCCUGCUCAUUUAGCAGGGAAUGGCUAACUGGAGCACGUGUCUGAAUCUGGACUACAUGCAUUGCCUGUCAUUCUAUCCUGUAUUGCCUUCAUGUGUGCAUUUAAAAGGAUGAGAACAGGCAGAAGAUUUUUUAAAAGAGAGAGGUGCUGGGGAAAAUAGGUGUGGCUGAUGCAUUUGAGCAGGGGCGUAUCUAGGGUGGAGCAGGCAGGGCACAUGCCCUGGGCGCCACUUGAAGGGGGGCGCAAUUUUCUAAAAGAAAAAAAGAAAGAAAAAUGGCAGCCGAAAACAAAAUGGCCACUGCAUAUGCUCAAAUGGCCUCUGUGAGGCCCUAGGCCAGGCCAGGCCUCUCAGAGGCCAUUUGAGCAUGUGCGGUGGCCAUUUUGUUUUUAGCAGCCAUUUUUAUAUAUAUAGCCACGACACAUGCUCAAAUGGUCCCUGUGAGGCCCUAGAGGCCAGUGCGAGGAGGGGGGACCUUUGCUGACCUCCCCCAGCCUUUAGGAAGCCCCCCAAAGGGGCUACAGGUUAAAAAAAUAAUAUAAUAUAAGUCACUGUACACAUAUUUAGUUUGGAACUAUGUACAGAGAAUCAGGGCUUGUGAAUACUGAGCUGACGCUUAUGAGCUAGGAUUGUAUUCAUUUGCUCUUACUUUGUUUCUUGUGAUGAGUGAGUUAAAUGUGAUGUCUUAAUAAUAUGGCUAUUAAUAGUGAGUUUGUCUUUGAAUCAGUGUGAAAUCCUUAGAAUUAAGGCCCACUGGGAGUUUCUUGCUCUCUUUCUCUCAUUUUAACUGUCUUUCUGAAAGACUAGAAUAUAUUCCAAGCAGUGACACAGUUUACUCUGCAUAUCCUUUAAUUAUUUUCCAGAGUAUCUGGGAAAAGCCAAAUUCUCAAUUUAUUUUUAAAACUGAUGUAAUAGUGAUGCUACAAUGCAUAGUAGAGAAUUAGACAGGCACUUCUGUUUAGUUUUCCAAGUACACCUCCACAUAGUAUUUGGGUAUUUCAUGAGCCCCAGCAUCCUGAAAUUUGUAGUUUCCCAGCAUUUUUUGGUCUGGCUACGUCCACUGCUAAAUUGUUUUUGAAAUAUUAAAAGAUUAACGAGCUUGACUUGUAUUUUUCAGCUGAUAUUAUGGUAACAUUAUCUGAAAGAUGGGUGUCAGAUGCUUGGUCUUGGGGCCCAAUUUCAGUGCUUGCCCUAGGUGCUAUUUUCCCUAAAUACGCCUCUGCAUUUGAGAGGAGGAAAACUCCUCUCAACUCAGCAACUUAGCUGUCCAUGGACUGGGCUUUAGUUAAGUCUUGCUUUGGGGUGGACCUAUAAUUGAGAGGAUGGGUUCAAAGAACUUGGGGCCUCAGCUCCUGAGAGCGCCCCCAGCUCCACCCUGCCGGGGAGAGGGGUGAACACAGGCCCCCACUAACCUAGCUACAUCCCUGCUUGCUUUAUAGCUGUUCACUGGAGAGAAGUUUAAUAUGGUGGUACAGCUGUCCAGAUGUUUAAAGUUCCUAUGGCUAAAAAGGAGGAUACACUGACACAGGUGAUCGGGAAAACUCAGGACCUUUAGCCAGCUGCUUUUGCAUCUUGAUGGCCUCUAGCAAUAUUGCAAGAUUCUCUCAAGCAUCUUCUUCCCCUCCAGGCAUGAAGUCAAAGGAAACACAAACCCAAGUCCAAAAACAUUUCAGAGAGGUCCUUUCAGUAAAACUGGGACGGAGCCCAACCCUAAAACCUCUUACUUUGUUUAUUUAGUUAUUUAAAAUAUUUAUACCCCACCCCUCCAGUGCACUACUGCUCAGGGCAGCUCACAACAAUAAGAUAGAGACAGAUACAAUCAAAGUAAUACAAUGAACUGAGGAAAAAUUUUGAAGUCAGAUUAAAAACCACAAUUAUUAGGUUCAAAUUAAAACUGAACAUUAUAAAAAGCUAAAGAACCUACCAGAUAUAACAAAAUAUAAUAGAGCAUUUAAAAAUCCUCCUUUAAAAGGAGCAUUUUAAGAUGUUUUUUAAAAACACUGAGGGAGGGAGCAUGACGAAGCUCUUCAGGGAGGGCGUUCUAAAGUUGCCUUGAACCUGAACCUGAAUCAGAAUCAAACCCCUAAACACAAAAAGUGUUCCAAACCAGGGGUUCUGUCAUCAGGCUGCUUACAAGGGUAUGAGUAAUGUUUUAUUUUCCUGUUUUUAAUCUGGUUAUAUGCAUUUUGAUUUUUAAAACAUUUAAAAAAAUCAUUGUCGAGUUAAAUAAUUAUAAUUUUUGUAGCUGCAUUGCAAGCAAGAGAGAUUGUUCUUAUUCUAAAUGUAUCUAGACUGGAUUAAAACCAAUGUCUAAACCCA